GUUGUCACACUCAUUUCUGUUACUUGCUGUGAUCCCGGACCUCUAGCCACCGACGGAUCCGUUUCUCCCAUUUACUUGAACUGAGGGCGUAACCCAGACAAGUUUACUUUUGACCUCGGGACGAUACCCAGGCAGGCCCUUACAUUCUAUGCUUCGGAACACAUCCACAAGCAUCCUUAUAACGCCUCUUAGUUAGUGCCCGAAUGGAGAUCAACCCACCGAG
Molecule: long non-coding RNA, 223 nt
Filed under: Salvia miltiorrhiza (redroot sage)
Lineage: Eukaryota; Viridiplantae; Streptophyta; Magnoliopsida; Lamiales; Lamiaceae
Description: long non-coding RNA (SMIL_LNC002030)
Source: RNAcentral